UGUAACAAAGCAUGGAUGUUGAAAUACUUGAACAGCACUCAGAUAAUGUAUUUUAAUAAAAUAAAAAUGAUUUCCCCCUUUCACUGCAAUAUAAUGUUACUUAAAUAUCAAACAAUAUUUUCAAAUUUUUCUUUCAGAUAUUACACACACAUUUGAAUAAUGCCUCACUAGUAAAACUGGUUCAGAUAUUAAUCUAUCUGGGUGUCCCCUACUACCUCCUAUGUUUUAGAAGGCUUUCCUUGAAAUUUUCCAAGUCUUCCUGCCUGGUAUCCAAACAUCAGGGUGAUAGUGCUUUCCAUGCAGGAUUUAUGAACUCAAAUCCUUUCUCUAAUUCUCUGUGGGGUCAACCAGAUUCCUGGAGAAAUUCCAGCAACCCAACAACUAUGUCAUUACUGCAAAAUAGCCUCUCUGAAGCUACCUGCUUUGUUUAUCCAGAGGCAUUGUGGGAUCAGAAAGGUGCCAGCAGAGUGGUCUGGAGUGACUCGAAAUGUUUAUGUAUGGAGAGGACCUGCAAAAACAUACCUUCCACUUACCCUUCAGAAAGGAAGAAUCUGCCCCAAAGAUAUGUUAUGAAAACAUUGUUCAUCCUACAACAUUUCUAUGCUCUUUUUGUUUGAGAGUAAAUACUAAUGGCAACUUUAUCUUUAUCACUUAUAUUUUUCAUGAAAGUAAUUCCAGUAGGAUUUCUGAUGGAUAAACAAUCUUAGAGGAGACUCAAUACCCUCGAGUCCACCUCUUUUUAGAAGAUGUUGUGCACUGUUAAGAGGACACUGGGGGUACAGCCAGUUGCCUGAUCUCACUGGGGUUUACAGCAUUAAGGCAAAGCUCCAGGGUCCCUAUGUAAUUAGAUCUCAGCUGUGGCUGGAUGAAAAACAGUGGUAAGAACUACAUCUAAAUCUGGGCCUCGGUCAGUAGAUUUAUAGGAGAAAUAAAAAAAAAUGCUGUUUGUAGAACUUGUCCUUCUGUUGAGGGCAGUGAAGAGAUUGUGAAGGAAAGUCUGAAAACGAGUCAAAAUCUGUCCACGGCGGUGUAUCAUUGCAAGGGUACUCUGGAAAUAAAAACAUGGGUGAAGAAUCUUCUCAUUUUCAAGUUUUUUUUCUUGCUCUUGACCCCUCCUGUCUAACGCUGGAAGUCACAGCAGCAGGUGAUAUAAAUCAACUCUUAUGCAUUUUAUCUUUAUUAUGAGUGGAAUCUUUGAAGAUAUUAAUUCAUGCAUUAUUACCCCAUACAAAUGGAGUAUGAUAGAAACAUACACUUAAUUAUCUGUGUUCUGUGUAGACAAUAGAAAAGUGUGCAGAGUGCUGUUAUUAUGGAGUUACCCAACAAGUCUCUGAGGAAAUGACAGAGGACAUGAUACAGGUGACCUGGGGGUUUGCAAUCUUUUAUUGUAGGAAGUAGGAAAACAUCUGCAGAAGAAUUCCAGGGAUUCAACAAGUCCAUCUUCCAUAUUUCCAAAGCCUUAAAUAAUGAGGUGGAAUCAGAUGCCUCCUUCUAUCCCUCUGUGAACCCAUUUUGUAUUCUACACGCAAGGCUGUGAAACGCAUGGCAGCAAGUUGAGAAACUGACCAGCUGCCUACGAGACACUGGGGCCAAUCUCUCCUGAAGCAAGCUGCCAAAAUCUUGUUGAUGCAGAAAGAAAUCUGAAGGGUCAAGUAUUCGGAGGAGCAGGGCAUGACUUCCGGGGAGAAGUUUAAGCUCCUGAAACAAUGACCUGAGUGGAUAGAAGCCAGGCUCAUUUGGACUGCACUGUAAUUCCCUAUAACCCAGACAGAAGAAGUCCAAAGCAGCCAGGACUGAACGUGAAGAUGAAAGGUAGACUGGACAGCGUGAACGUCCUCCCAGCAGUCCUGUGAAACAGUUUGGACAGAGACAUGGUCUGUCAGCUUCUCAAAGAUGUAUUUUAGAAGAAUGAUUUUCCAGUCCUAAUCUCAAAGCUGCAAAAUCCUAUUUUCUGAUCCUACUUUUAUCCUGUACCCCUCCCUAUGCUUCACAGACAGGAGCAGCAUUUUCUGAUUUCCGCUAAAUAAGACCAUUUUCACCUACAUACUUCAGCUGCUGGGUUUCCAGGUGAACAGUGGUGCUUUGCUGUCAUGGUAGGAGCAGAGGAGCCCUGCUAGUGCUGUCUCACACCACACCACAUUCCCUCUGCUAUUCCUCUCCCAGGUAGCCAAGACUGAUAUAAAAAAUACAGAAUUUUGUGCCUAUAUUUCUAUGUUACAUAUUUAUUAAUUAUUUGCUGCUCAAAAUUUCCUUAUCCACUAUUUUUGUGUGUGUCUAUACCAAGUCUUUUCCUUUUCAACAUGAUCCAUCCUUUCUACCUUACAUUUACUCGUGUUUACUAAACACUCUAAGCGGCUCUCAAAAUCGACUUCCUAUUGGAAUCACUUGAGGAACUUUAAAAAAUGUUCAAUGUCUAAUUGCCCACCCCAGGCCAAUUAAAUUAGAAUCUCAUGGAGUGAGGCUCAGACAUCAACAUUUUAUAUAAUCUCCCCAGGUGAUUAUGAGAUGCAACUAAGGUUGAAAACCACUGCUAACCCAAAUGCUAUGAAAUUUCUGCCUACCCUACUAUAAGACAGAGCUCACCAAAGCCUUUUAGCUUUCUCUGAUGUUCAGCUUAGAACUUGACGAUGCUUCCUCCAAAGGCACUGCUGACAAUCUGAUUAUCUGAAUUAAUUCACCCUCACAUCCAUUUCUCCUAGAGAUCACACCAUACAAUCACAGUCCCUCUAGAAUUCUCUUGCAGAAACACAGAAAACGGGCUAAGUAACUCAAUAACAUCCUUCUAAUUUUAUUAAGAAAGGUAAACUAUUACAGAGUAGAGGAAACGAAAAGGCAAGAAGGCAGUUUGCGUACUUAGAAGCACAAAAGUAUAAUAUUUACUUUAGACCCUUCUUGCAGGCAUCGAGUAGUCCCAGUCUGCACACUGAAGACAGACCAGCACCUUGCCUUUUGGUUAAUAAUGGUGCCAGCUGUUCUCCCAGGCAGUGUUGGGCUUGUUCUUUGCCUAUUACGUAAGAAUACACUGAGUCAGAGAAGAUGUUGAUCUGCAGUUACUGUCAAGUUGUGGAAUUAGACAGCCUCAGGAUGCAGACCUUCCUGUGCAAAUGAUAUUUACCUAGAGGCUUGCUUGGAAUAUAAAUGAAAGCAUCACUCCACGAUAAACUAUACAUGUUUGGUGAUCGAUACAGAACUCUAAUUUUCUCAAGUUAAUGCCUUUUAAUGACAGGUUCCCAAUGCUAGCUGUAGACAGUUACAUGCGAGAUUAUCAAUCAUGGAGAUGUCUUAGCUGGGAAUUAUUAAUCUUUACUCCCCCAGCAUUACAUAAUUGAUAAUGACUAUAUUGACAGUUCCAAGAAGGCUUCUGAGAUGGAUCUGCUCAGUAGAAAGGCAAACAUUAGCACUGAGGAGUGCAGAAACGGCAUGCUGUGAGUUCUAACGAGUGUACUCUGCAACCUCUACUUGUAUCCUGUGGUUCUCAGGGUUUUCUCCAGAAAGAUUACUUGUGAUCAGAAAGUGACUAUAUGCAAGUGUCACCUUUUUACUGUGGAUAUUUGUUUCCUGUGAGUCUUCAAGUUAUUUUUCAUGGCUUUUGUUGGAGGAAAAAUAGAGUUCAUUUCCAAUAUGGGUCCACAGAUCCAAUAGAACUACACGAGAGAGAACAUUAGCACACACUUGCCAGCACAUCAGCGUUCUUUAUGGACUUUACCUUUUUGGUAGCAAAUAGAAGGCAGAAGGAAGGAUACGCAAGAUGAUUUAGGGCUGAGGAGAUGCCGUGCGGUCAUCGGAUACAUUUAAUAUGAAAAAGUAUGCCUCUCUUGAAAUGAAAAUCGCAUUCAUUGAAAACGAAAUUUUUUCCCAUACGUGUUUGGCUGACUUUGUCUGACAAAGAGGAUAAAGGAAAAUUAAUUUUACAGUUUUAUGUAGGACAAAAGUCUUAUCAAGAAUGCGAAAUCUACAUGUAUGUGACUACUCUCUGAAGUAUGUACAUAGAAAGUAUAUUUUUCUCUGUACAGUUAGACCAAUGGCUUUUCAUAUUUUCAUUAUAAAUAUAACCAAAUUACUAACAUUGACAACAACCACUUCAGCUCUUAGCCUUUUCUUCCAUUUUAUACCGAGGGAUCCUCUAUCCCCUUCAUACACACGCCUGGGUUUUACAGCACACUCUUUAAUGCAGGUCACUUUUUCUAAAGUAGAAAGAAUAUGCCUUCGAACUAACUGACCAUUUGGCCCCCUCCUUUCCUCCGUCCCUAUGGAACAUAUGACGGAAAAUUUCUUUAAAAUCACUUAACUGUUGUCCCAGGAGCUGUAAAAUAUUCUAUUUCUCUCUCCUUUUUCUUGUGCUACACUUGCCUCAUCACGAUGUAACAUGGCAGGGCCGUGAAUGGAACCUUGGCCACUCAAGCAAUGUAUUAGGCUUUGGUGUAGCCUUAAGAAAAUCACCUUACAUUACAGAAUCUUCUUCCUGUCUAUGGACGGUAGUGAUAAUGAUCCAUGCUGUGACAUAUCAGUCUUACAUGAUAAGACUUUGAAAAGUGUAAGAUUUAAUACUCAUGAAUGGUGUUAUAUAUAUUAUACAUAUAGUUAUCUAUAUAGUUGUUAUCGUUGGGGUUUGAAAUCAGCCCUUGCACACACAGUACUAAGCAUGUGCUUUGCAACCGAGCCAGGUCCACAGCCACAAUAACUUUGAAGCCCACAAAGUUCCAGAUAAAUAUACAACCUCAUAUUCCUUUGUCUCUCUAUCCUUUAAUUGAUUUUAAAUAUUUUCUAUUUACUUAUUGAGUACUUUUUUCAUCUCUAUCAAUAGGGACUGAAAAUGUGUUAUUGGAUGUGUGUAUAUAUAUAUUUAUAUAUAUAGCAUCUAUCAUCAUAUGUUAUCUUACUGCCAAAUUGUUUCAUGUGAGUUCUAAUGAUUUUCUCAACUACAUGGCACCUGCCCCACUGUCCGUAAAAGCGCAGUGUUACUCAGAAUUACCAAGUACCAGCAUUAUUGACAGUCUAGAUAUUGAUACUGCUGGAACUAAGAUGUGCUCCCCCACUUCAUGGACCAGUAGAAAUAAGGGUUACUUUUUCAGUUAUGUCUCAGUAGUUGUGCUGAUGUAGUGAGAAUUUACAUUUCUGAGGACAUUGCCUGAUCCUUGUUGCUGUAAUUAGCAUCUACUAAAGAAUACACAUUUUGUAAUUCCUGAUAACGAAAAUAAAUUGUAUUUUAGUCUGCAUCCUCAAUUUGAUAUCUACAAUGAGAACAUGUAUUGAAUUUUUGACAUAAUUUCUUUUUUUUCAACUAAUCUGCAUUUGUGUUACUGUUUUUUAAUUUAAAUAAAUAUUAAGGGAUUAAUGUUCUCAUUUUAAGAAGAUGGCUCUCAUCCAUCUUCUAGUAUUCAUGAAUACCAGGAUAGAUUUAAACUACAGUGACUUCACUGCUAAAUAACUUCCAGUUGUAUAAUCAACUUCUGGAAAUAAGAUUGACUUGAGGUUAUUGGCCAAAAACUAGCCCUUCACUUCCUAGAUGAAUAGAGACACUUAAGCUAAUAACAUAAUGGCAGAAACUAAUUUGAUACCAACUAUUAAAGAAUAACUUUGGUCCCAAGAUUUUUCAAUGCAUCUAUUUUAUAUAUACUGAAUAAUUGACUUGCCUUUAUUAUACUGUUUUACUUUCUAAAUAUGUUUUGAUUAAUAAUACAUGUUCUCUAAUCAAAUGCAUAUUAUGGCUUUUCCACUUUUUAUAAAU
Long non-coding RNA from Fukomys damarensis (Damara mole-rat), 5728 nucleotides. RefSeq lists it as uncharacterized. The transcript is spliced from 3 exons. The record is from RefSeq and is a predicted model, not a curated record. Lineage: Eukaryota; Metazoa; Chordata; Mammalia; Rodentia; Bathyergidae.